Molecule: non-coding RNA, 765 nt
Organism: Drosophila melanogaster (fruit fly)
Lineage: Eukaryota; Metazoa; Arthropoda; Insecta; Diptera; Drosophilidae
Source: Ensembl
ACUUUGUCAAAGUCAUAAGUAAGCGUUGCGAGGUAUUGAUUAACCGAUUAGUUGCACUUCGAAUAUCUAAGUAUCUGUUAGUUCGCAAUCUCGAUGGGAAAGAUGAAACGGAGGCGAAGGCGAAGACGAGAACGAGGACGAGAUGCGGUGUGGCUCGUUGCGCAGUCUGUGCCUGACUGACUUCACCAUCCGAACGUCGGCCAAGAUCGUUGCCUUUCUGUGAAGCCACGGCCCAGACGUCGGCCAUAUCCCACAGUCACUUGGCAGGUAACCACUACGCGGACCAAUCGCAGCGCUCUCCACAACGGCAUCUCGCUCUGGCUCACUCGACCCAUUUAGCAACCGUCUCGCUCGCCGCCAGGGGGCGUCUCAGCUGUGAAAAGCACCGUGGAAUGGGAGAAGAGCAGAGAACUUUGGAUUGGGGGGUAUACGAGUACAAGGGAACCACAAUACUUCUGCUCCAGAUCCUGGGCAUUCCAUCCAUUCAAAUCCUAUGCAUAGUUUCGACUUUCACUGGUUUCCGGAAAUUAAUUAAUGCCGUAAGUAGCACGAUACAAUUUAAGCGUUACAUAUCCUUUAUGGAUACCUUGUUAUAAGGAUAAGGGAAUACUGGACUUGAGAGAUCAGUCUGCCUGGCGUUUGCUUUUCACUCUUCACUUGAGAUAUUCUUUGGGGUUCCACUUGGCCCCGGAAAUCAAAUUAGAUAUUCACUGGAACCCAUAAUGCAAUCGAGUACGCGUUUAACACUCUUUACAAGCGUAAUAU